AAAGUCUCUCCUUUUCCCUUCUUGAGUCUUGUGAUCCACUGGGCUGAAGCCAGGAUGGGCUGUCCCAUGGAGCAGGGUUACCUGUGUUACCCAUGUAAAGGACCAAUCACGGUAGAAACCAGCUCCCACUAAGAGAGGCUGUCUUUGCUUCAUCAGAAGGAACAAGUAAAUGAAUAAAGAUGCAUGUGGAUUUUCUGAAACAGCUCAAGCAAGGAACUCGGCAUGUAACCUCAAUCAAUUUACUGUUGUUGGGUCAAAGCAUUGCUACCAUCUGGGCAUCCAUACCAGAUUUGGAGAAAGCCCUUGCCAGAGGGCCAGAUGACAAAAGCGCCCUCAUGGCGGUGCUGGAAACAAUCAUUCUGGUGAACUAAGAUGACCUGUGGGCGGACACUGGAGUUCUGCAGAGAUGUUGCAUGUGGGAUGGCUGAUGGAUCACUGUCUAGCCGCCUCUGAUGUGGUCUGUUGCUUUCAGUGGCAACAAGGAAAAUGGGAAAAUGAAAUGUACCGAAGACAGGAAGCGAGGUCAGUCAUUUGGCUGUUACACUGCCAAAGCCCUGUGAAAUACG
This 566-nucleotide long non-coding RNA is filed under the name Phascolarctos cinereus (koala). RNAcentral describes it as "lncRNA (ENSPCIG00000034901.1)". The record is from RNAcentral. Lineage: Eukaryota; Metazoa; Chordata; Mammalia; Diprotodontia; Phascolarctidae.